AGAGUUUGAUCCUGGCUCAGGAUGAACGCUGGCGGCGUGCUUAACACAUGCAAGUCGAGCGAGAAAAGUUCUUCGGAGCUUUUCUAGCGGCGGACGGGUGAGUAACACGUGGGCAACCUGCCUCAUAGAGGGGAAUAGCCUUCCGAAAGGAAGAUUAAUACCGCAUAAUAUUGUUGAAAGGAAUCUUUUAACAAUCAAAGGAGCAAUCCGCUAUGAGAUGGGCCCGCGGCGCAUUAGCUAGUUGGUGAGGUAACGGCUCACCAAGGCGACGAUGCGUAGCCGACCUGAGAGGGUGAUCGGCCACAUUGGAACUGAGACACGGUCCAGACUCCUACGGGAGGCAGCAGUGGGGAAUAUUGGUCAAUGGGCGGAAGCCUGAACCAGCCAUGCCGCGUGCGGGAAGACGGCCCUAUGGGCUGUAAACCGCUUUUGCCUGGGGGCAAUAAGGGCGCCGAGCGCGUCCGAUGAGAGUACCAGGCGAAUAAGCAUCGGCUAACUCCGUGCCAGCAGCCGCGGUAAUACGGAGGAUGCGAGCGUUAUCCGGAUUUAUUGGGUUUAAAGGGUGCGUAGGCGGUUAAAUAAGUUUGAGGUAAAAGACCAUUGCUCAACAGUGGCACGCCUUGAAAACUGUUUGACUAGGAAGUAAACGGCGCAGGCGGAAUGAAUCAAGUAGCGGUGACAUGCAUAGAUAUGAUUCAGAACACCGAUCGCGAAGGCAGCUUGCGAGGAUACGAUUGACGCUGAUGCACGAAAGCGUGGGUAUCGAACAGGAUUAGAUACCCUGGUAGUCCACGCUGUAAACGAUGAUAACUAGAUGUUGGCGAUAGAAUGUCAGUGUCGGAGCGAAAGUGCUAAGUUAUCCACCUGGGGAGUACGAUCGCAAGGUUGAAACUCAAAGGAAUUGACGGGGGCCCGCACAAGCGGAGGAGCAUGUGGUUUAAUUCGAUGAUACGCGAGGAACCUUACCCGAACUUGAACGUAUAUUGAAUAACUUGUGAGAAUAAGUUAGUUAGCAAUAACGAUAUACGAGGUGCUGCAUGGUUGUCGUCAGCUCGUGCCGUGAGGUGUCAGGUUAAGUCCUAUAACGAGCGCAACCCCUGCACAUAGUUACCAGCACGUAUUGGUGGGGACUCUAUGUGGACUGCCAGCGCAAGCUGCGAGGAAGGCGGGGAUGACGUCAAAUCAGCACGGCCCUUACGUCCGGGGCGACACACGUGUUACAAUGGCGGAGAACAGAGGGGAGCCACGUGGCGACACGGAGCCGAUCCCGAAAAUCCGUCUCAGUUCGGAUUGGAGUCUGCAACCCGACUCCAUGAAGCUGGAUUCGCUAGUAAUCGCGCAUCAGCCAUGGCGCGGUGAAUACGUUCCCGGGUCUUGCACUCACCGCCCGUCAAG
This 1395-nucleotide ribosomal RNA is filed under the name uncultured bacterium. Its description in RNAcentral is "bacterial SSU rRNA". It matches the Rfam family "Bacterial small subunit ribosomal RNA". The record is from RNAcentral.